UUUCCGUAGGUGAACCUGCGGAAGGAUCAUUAAAGUUAUAGUCCCCCGGCCCUCUAGGCUGGGGUCUUCUAUACCACCCCUUGUUUAUUACACCUUUGUUGCUUUGGCAGGCCUGCCCUCGGGCUGCUGGCUCCGGCCGGCUCGCGUCUGCCAGAGGACCUAAACUCUGUUUGUAUAUGAAGUCUGAGUACUAUAUAAUAGUUAAAACUUUCAACAACGGAUCUCUUGGUUCUG
Molecule: unclassified non-coding RNA, 234 nt
Filed under: plant metagenome
Description: partial contains small subunit ribosomal RNA, internal transcribed spacer 1, and 5.8S ribosomal RNA
Source: RNAcentral